Molecule: ribosomal RNA, 253 nt
Filed under: uncultured bacterium
Lineage: Bacteria
Description: partial 16S ribosomal RNA
Rfam family: Bacterial small subunit ribosomal RNA
Source: RNAcentral
UACGUAGGGUCCGAGCGUUGUCCGGAAUUACUGGGCGUAAAGAGCUCGUAGGUGGUUUGUCGCGUUGUUCGUGAAAACUCACAGCUCAACUGUGGGCGUGCGGGCGAUACGGGCAGACUGGAGUACUGCAGGGGAGACUGGAAUUCCUGGUGUAGCGGUGGAAUGCGCAGAUAUCAGGAGGAACACCCGUGGCGAAGGCGGCUCUCUGGUACGUGACUGACGCUGAGACGCGAAAGCGUGGGGAGCGAACAGG